AAAAUGACAGAAUGACAGGGAAUUAUGAAGAGAUUGGAGAGUAGAAAAAAUGUGAACUGAUACCUCAAAAUGAUAAGAAGGACAUAUAAAGAAAAAAAAUACAAAUGAAAAAUAUAGGCUAAUGGAUUAACAUCUCAAUUGUGUGGCAUUUACUU
Long non-coding RNA from Loxodonta africana (African savanna elephant), 155 nucleotides. It matches the Rfam family "TTC28 antisense RNA 1 conserved region 2". Lineage: Eukaryota; Metazoa; Chordata; Mammalia; Proboscidea; Elephantidae. The record is from Rfam.